GUGGGUAGUUUGACUGGGGCGGUCUCCUCCUAAAGAGUAACGGAGGAGCACGAAGGUUGGCUAAUCCUGGUCGGACAUCAGGAGGUUAGUGCAAUGGCAUAAGCCAGCUUGACUGCGAGCGUGACGGCGCGAGCAGGUGCGAAAGCAGGUCAUAGUGAUCCGGUGGUUCUGAAUGGAAGGGCCAUCGCUCAACGGAUAAAAGGUACUCCGGGGAUAACAGGCUGAUACCGCCCAAGAGUUCAUAUCGACGGCGGUGUUUGGCACCUCGAUGUCGGCUCAUCACAUCCUGGGGCUGAAGUAGGUCCCAAGGGUAUGGCUGUUCGCCAUUUAAAGUGGUACGCGAGCUGGGUUUAGAACGUCGUGAGACAGUUCGGUCCCUAUCUGCCGUGGGCGCUGGAGAACUGAGGGGGGCUGCUCCUAGUACGAGAGGACCGGAGUGGACGCAUCACUGGUGUUCGGGUUGUCAUGCCAAUGGCACUGCCCGGUAGCUAAAUGCGGAAGAGAUAAGUGCUGAAAGCAUCUAAGCACGAAACUUGCCCCGAGAUGAGUUCUCCCUGAGACUUAGAGUCUCCUGAAGGAACGUUGAAGACGACGACGUUGAUAGGCCGGGUGUGUAAGCGCAGCGAUGCGUUGA
RNAcentral lists this ribosomal RNA (634 nucleotides) under Salmonella enterica subsp. enterica serovar Agona. Its description in RNAcentral is "partial 23S ribosomal RNA". It matches the Rfam family "Bacterial large subunit ribosomal RNA", at positions 2261 to 2889 of the family's 2925-position model. Lineage: Bacteria; Pseudomonadati; Pseudomonadota; Gammaproteobacteria; Enterobacterales; Enterobacteriaceae. The record is from RNAcentral. RNAcentral also lists the same sequence under 1 other name.